CCUACGGGCGACAGCAGUGAGGAAUAUUGGUCAAUGGGCGGGAGCCUGAACCAGCCAAGUCGCGUGAGGGAAGACGGUCCUACGGAUUGUAAACCUCUUUUGCCGGGGAGCAACGGGGUCCUUGCGAGGGCCCGAUGAGAGUACCCGGAGAAAAAGCAUCGGCAAACUCCGUUCCAGCAGCCGCGGUAAUACGGGGGAUGCGAGCGUUAUCCGGAUUUAUUGGGUUUAAAGGGUGCGUAGGCGGGCUGUUAAGUCAGCGGUCAAAUGUCGGGGCUCAACCCCGUCGUGCCGUUGAAACUGGCGUUCUUGAGUGAGCGAGAAGUAUGCGGAAUGCGUGGUGUAGCGGUGAAAUGCAUAGAUAUCACGCAGAACUCCGAUUGCGAAGGCAGCAUACCGGCGCUCAACUGACGCUCAUGCACGAAAGCGUGGGUAUCGAACAGGAUUAGAUACCCUAGUAGUC
RNAcentral lists this ribosomal RNA (460 nucleotides) under uncultured bacterium. Its description in RNAcentral is "partial 16S ribosomal RNA". It matches the Rfam family "Bacterial small subunit ribosomal RNA", at positions 338 to 795 of the family's 1533-position model. The record is from RNAcentral.